RNAcentral lists this ribosomal RNA (443 nucleotides) under uncultured bacterium. RNAcentral describes it as "partial 16S ribosomal RNA". It matches the Rfam family "Bacterial small subunit ribosomal RNA", at positions 338 to 795 of the family's 1533-position model. The record is from RNAcentral.
CCUACGGGAGGCAGCAGUGGGGAAUAUUGGGCAAUGGGCGCAAGCCUGACCCAGCAACGCCGCGUGAAGGAAGAAGGCUUUCGGGUUGUAAACUUCUUUUCUCAGGGACGAAGAAAGUGACGGUCCCUGAUGAUUAAGCCCCGGCUAACUACGUGCCAUCAGCCGCGGUAUUACGUAGGUGGCAAGCGUUAUCCGGAUUUCCUGGGUGUAAAGGGCGCGUAGACGGUGCAGCAAGUCUGAUGUGAAAGGACGGGGCCCAACCCCGGGACUGCAUUGGAAACUGUUGAUCUUGAGUACAGGAGAGGCAAACGGAAUUCCUAGUGUAGCGGUGAAAUGCGUAGAUAUUAGGAGGAACACCAGUGGCGAAGGCGGUCUGCUGGACUGUAACUGACGUUGAGGCUCGAAAGCGUGGGGAGCAAACAGGAUUAGAUACCCUAGUAGUC